UCCCAGACUCCUACGGGAGGCAGCAGCGGGGAAUAUUGCACAAUGGGGGAAACCCUGAUGCAGCGACGCCGCGUGAGUGAAGAAGUAUCUCGGUACGUAAAGCUCUAUCAGCAGGGAAGAAAAUGACGGUACCUGAGUAAGAAGCUCCGGCUAAAUACGUGCCAGCAGCCGCGGUAAUACGUAUGGAGCAAGCGUUAUCCGGAUUUACUGGGCGUAAAGGGAGCGUAGGCGGCCUGCCAAGUCUGAUGUGAAAUGCCGGGGCUCAACCCCGGGGCUGCAUUGGAAACUGGCAGGCUGGAGUGCCGGAGAGGCAGGCGGAAUUCCUAGUGUAGCGGUGAAAUGCGUAGAUAUUAGGAGGAACACCAGUGGCGAAGGCGGCCUGCUGGACGGUGACUGACGCUGAGGCUCGAAAGCGUGGGGAGCAAACAGGAUUAGAUACCCUUGUA
Molecule: ribosomal RNA, 446 nt
Filed under: uncultured bacterium
Lineage: Bacteria
Description: bacterial SSU rRNA
Rfam family: Bacterial small subunit ribosomal RNA
Source: RNAcentral